GAUGAACGCUGGCGGCGUGCUUAACACAUGCAAGUCGAACGGAAAGGCCCAAGCUUGCUUGGGUGCUCGAGUGGCGAACGGGUGAGUAACACGUGGGUGAUCUGCCCUUCACUUUGGGAUAAGCCUGGGAAACUGGGUCUAAUACCGGAUAGGACCAUCUUUUAGUUUCUGUGGUGGGAAGUUUUUCGGUGGGGGGUGAGCUCGCGGCCUAUCAGCUUGUUGGUGGGGUAGUGGCUUACCAAGGCGUCGACGGGUAGCCGGCCGAGGGGGGUGACGGGCCAAUUGGGGCCGAGAUUAGGCCCAGAAUUCUAAGGGAGGGAAGAGUGGGGAAGAUUGCACAAGGGGGGGGAGCCCGAUGCAGCGACGCCGGGGUGGGGAUGAAGGGCUUCGGGUUGUAAACUCCCUUCGGCAAGGACGAAGCGGUUUGUGACGGUAAUUGGAGAAGAAGCACCGGCUAACUACGUG
This 465-nucleotide ribosomal RNA is filed under the name uncultured bacterium. Its description in RNAcentral is "partial 16S ribosomal RNA". It matches the Rfam family "Bacterial small subunit ribosomal RNA", at positions 28 to 507 of the family's 1533-position model. The record is from RNAcentral.